This 549-nucleotide ribosomal RNA is filed under the name uncultured bacterium. RNAcentral's name for it is "partial 16S ribosomal RNA". It matches the Rfam family "Bacterial small subunit ribosomal RNA", at positions 355 to 895 of the family's 1533-position model. The record is from RNAcentral.
UGGGGAAUAUUGGACAAUGGGCGCAAGCCUGAUCCAGCAAUGCCGCGUGUGUGAAGAAGGCCUUCGGGUUGUAAAGCACUUUUAUCAGGAGCGAAACGCUGUCGGCUAAUACCCGGCGGAACUGACGGUACCUGAGGAAUAAGCACCGGCUAACUUCGUGCCAGCAGCCGCGGUAAUACGAAGGGUGCAAGCGUUAAUCGGAAUUACCGGGCGUAAAGCGUGCGUAGGCGGUUUCUUAAGUCUGCUGUGAAAUCCCCGGGCUCAACCUGGGAAUGGCAGUGGAUACUGGGAGGCUAGAGUGUGUCAGAGGGUGGUGGAAUUCCCGGUGUAGCGGUGAAAUGCGUAGAGAUCGGGAGGAACAUCAGUGGCGAAGGCGGCCACCUGUGACAACACUGACGCUGAGGCACGAAAGCGUGGGGAGCAAACAGGAUUAGAUACCCUGGUAGUCCACGCCCUAAACGAUGCGAACUGGAUGUUGGUCUCAACUCGGAGAUCAGUGUCGAAGCUAACGCGUUAAGUUCGCCGCCUGGGGAGUACGGUCGCAAGACU